CCACCACUGUGGCACUUAUGACAUCACACUGUCAUUGUUUACUUAAAAUGCCUCCUUCACUAAAGGGCAGCCAGUGUGUCAGACUUCUUUCCUGCUGAAUUCCCGGCAAAAGGCCUGGCACAGGGUAAAUGGCCAAAAAAUGUUUGUUGAUUAACCUAAAAGAUCAGCUUUUGCCCUAGGGGUUAGCAUCAAACACCAUGGGCCCUGCUACUGAAAGCACUGAUUGCAGCUCACUCUAGGCCACCUAUCUCCUCCCUUUGACUUUUUAGAAAGGUCUGUUCUCUACCAGAUUUUCUUGGAACAUAAUAUUCUUCGCACUUUAAGAUUCUCAGGAUUCGGUUUCUUAUUACUGGUGCCAUCUUCUGCUGUUGCAUUUCCUGACAGCCUUUUUACUGGUUGUCAGUUCGAAUGCAGACAUCGUGUCUCCUCCGGCCAACCUUGACCCCAGGCACUAAAAGUGGCUUGGCCUUGUUGUGGAUCUGUAUCAGGCCCCAGCCCCUGCGUGUGCUCAUCUCUGGAUAUCAAAGCUCUCUGAAAACAAGCCCAACCACUUGCAGUGUUUGUUCCAUCCAUUCUGCAGGAAUGGGAGCCUCCCUUAGUACCUUUACCAAAAGAAAGCUGGCCAGAUGACUACCCUUGGCCAUGUCCACAAGAACAGGCUGUAUGUGAAUUUUUACAGCCUCCUCCCAUUAUCACUAGGGGGCCUUGACUUUCCUCCAGCCUAAAAGACUGAUGGAGUUCAUCCUGCAACCUGCGGAGAAAUAUGGCCACACCAUACAGCGGCCCAACCCCAGGAAAGUGCAGGUUUGGCUGCUUUCCCCACCUGGUGCGAAGCUCUGGCGCCUUGGCUCUCUGGGUGAACUGGUGGCAAAUUCUACCACAGCUUCAAAAUCCCCAACUCAAUGGUGCCCUAAUUUGGGGUAACAAGAGACUUAAGCAUAGGCUUGAAGGCUUGAGAGACACAGCCAUCUAGAGCCGGAGCCUGGAACAUGUCACUGCUGAAAUGCAGGGCGGCAGGAACCAGCCCUGUUUCUGUUGCCGCCACCAGGCCUGCUCCUGUGGUCAGGGAGGGGAAAAGGGCGGUUAACACGAUGGAGAGCACCCAGCCGGUCCUAGGGACUGGCCACGCCUGACGCCCACAGGUCCCUCUUGGCGGGUCCUACCCCAGGCCAGAGAGCCCAGGCUCUUUGAGUCCUGUUACCCCCUCCCUCUGGAGGCCACUAAGUGGAUUUUAAAUCCUUACUCCUCACUUUUUCCUUUCCUCCUCCUCGAGUUCUUCACUUAGUAGUGACCACCCAGGCACCAGGCUCUUGAACAUUCUGGUCAGCUGCUGUUCUCUGAAGCAUGAGUCACUGCAUGACACAGGACAUUCUCGCUGGGCAAGGGGGCUCCCAAGGCCUGCCUCACCAAGGGCCCUGUUUUCCGACAGAAACUUUUCAUUCCAUAGGAAAUGAGGUCACACACCAAGAGCACACGGGUAACCGUAUAUACAACAUACAUGAUUUUACUAAGCCAAACUUGCAGGGCAUUUGGCUAGCUUACUUUCAAGACUUGGAGCCCCUUAAUCUACGGCCUACAGGAGACCAACACACAGGAGGAGAUCAAAGCGCUGAAGCCACAAACACAGCUCAGAACUCCGAGGCCCUGCGGCCAACAUCCCCCCUCCCGCGGCUCCUCCCCGCGCCAGGAGCCCUCCUCCUCCCCACUCCCACCCCUCGUGCACCGCCCUGCAGGGUCCCUCCUCCCCUCCACCAGCCCUGCUUCUCUAUGUUCCCCCCACCCCCGAACCCCCAAUCCAGCGGGCCGGGACUUUCGGGGCGGGCUGCCAUCCGGCCUUCUCCGACCCGGGAAAGUGCCCUCCUCGCCACCGGCCGCGCCCCUCCCCACCGGGAGAAGAUAUUUCUCGCCAUAAUUAAAGUCAUUAAGCCUCCAAAGGCUCCCGUCGGCUGCAGGUUCUGAGUUCCGGAACGAAGAUGAUGCAUUUUAAGUCCUAGUUAAGAUUAUGCUGAUCUAUUUAGGAGACAUGUAGCAGCGAGAAUUCAGCGGUUAAGUUAGUGGUUAAGGCUGCCUAAGUUUAAAUAGUGUUACUUAUUCUCAAAAUAUGUAGCAGCCCCACUUAAUUUCUCCUAAUUAAAGGUACCCGACUUUAGAGGCUGGAGUCCGCGGCCGGGUCGCGGCGCCAUUGCACAGGUUGGUACCCUUUUCACAAUCAGAAACUAGUGGGUGUCAAACGGAAAUGCAUUUCCCUAGAUCUUAAUCUUAAACAUAGACGUUUAGGCCAGUUCCAAGAAACACAAUGAUCCUCUUUGUUUUAACACCUGACAAGGAGCACCAAAAACCCAGGAAAGCCUGUCCACACCCUCCUGCUCCAUCGAUACUGUGGGGUGAAAGAUGUUACGGAAAAAACCGCAGUUGGGUUGUUUCAUUACCUGCCUAUGCCUGGAAGAUAAGCUUUUGGAAGAACCUGGAAGUCGUUAUCUUGGUUGAGUUUCCAGAAGUCCCACUUCAGGCCAAAUCUUAUAUAGUCCGCAACUAGAAACUUCAAAAAGGACCACCCCCCUUCAAUGCAUAUGGCAACUAAUUAAUAUAAACAAGUGUUAAUUAGGUGGCAGCAUCAGGCUUAACGAGGAACAACAGUGCCUGCAAAGUCUGGACACCCUACAGCCUCUCUGGAGGAUGAGAGGCGGCGGGCAGGCUCUCUCUGAAGGCUGAGUUCCUCACAGGGGCAGCUGUGCUUCUCAACCUUUGCUCACGGAGGAGGCAACU
Pan troglodytes (chimpanzee) is the source of this 2766-nucleotide long non-coding RNA. RefSeq lists it as uncharacterized. Lineage: Eukaryota; Metazoa; Chordata; Mammalia; Primates; Hominidae. The record is from RefSeq and is a predicted model, not a curated record. The transcript has 3 exons.